Oncorhynchus keta (chum salmon) is the source of this 2774-nucleotide long non-coding RNA. RefSeq lists it as uncharacterized. Lineage: Eukaryota; Metazoa; Chordata; Actinopteri; Salmoniformes; Salmonidae. The transcript has 5 exons. The record is from RefSeq and is a predicted model, not a curated record.
GACUUGACAUAUUUCCUCCCUUCCCCAUUUACCAAGUCAGACUUGACAUAUUUCCUCCCUUCCCCAUUACCAAGUCAGACUUGACAUAUUUCCUCCCUUCCCCAUUUACCAAGUCAGACUUGACAUAUUUCCUCCCUUCCCCAUUACCAAGUCAGACUUGACAUAUUUCCUCCCUUCCCCAUUUACCAAGUCAGACUUGACAUAUUUCCUCCCUUCCCCAUUUAACAAGUCAGACUUGACAUAUUUCCAUCUGGUUUGCAGACAGGAAGGGAAUACCUUUAACACUGAAUGGCUGAGAGGGACAUAACUGUAAACACAUACAGACCUUGGGUCCUCAUGCUCAUGCUGGCAAGGUUCACCAGAGAAGGCCAUCUGAUAAGAACAGUGUGUUUUAUUAACUAGUGAUGUUUGUAGCCUGCUGGUUGUGAGUUCAGAGGGAGAGGUCAAGACUUGUCUCUGUGUACAGGACACUUGAGGGAUCCAACUGAGUUUAUUUUUUUUUCAUUGGUAAGAUGUUAAUCCUAGAUGUAUUGACGUGACUAAGUGGAGCUACACACACACCUCUUUAUGUUUAUAUCAUCUCGUCUCUAUAAUUGAUUUUCUGUCUGUGCGUCUGCUUUGGCAUUUAGAUCCAUAUGAGGUUAGAUGACAUUUUCUUAUUUAAAAGAUAUUGUAGGUGAAACCUUGAAAGCUGGAAGUCAUUGAAUUUGAGCCCAAACAGGCAGGGUUAAGCCUGUCCAAGACCCAGAGUCCCAGAGAGGAUAGUUUAGGGGCUAGUGCCCUGCAGUCUCAAGAAUGCCAACACAGCCCUCGUUCCUCUGCCCUAGCCCUUCUCAAACACAACUCCUCCACCCCAGUUGAAUGCCGACGCGCCCCUUGCCCCUCUCGCCCUCCUCUUGCCCUCCUCUCGCCCCCAAGGCAGCACUAAGCCUCUAAUGGAUGUUUUCCCUGACACCUUGGUGUGACUGACGUCAGACAGGCCUCUCUCUACAACUGUUCUCAUAAACCUCCCUGUUCUCAUAAACCUCCCUGUUCUUUAUCCCACCACCCAGUAGGUAGACACAGACAGAAUCAUCCCACCACCCAGUAGGUAGACACAGACAGAAUCAUCCCACCACCCAGUAGGUAGACACAGACAGAAUCAUCCCACCACCCAGUAGGUAGACACAGACAGAAUCAUCCCACCACCCAGUAGGUAGACACAGACAGAAUCAUCCCACCACCCAGUAGGUAGACACAGACAGAAUCAUCCCACCACCCAGUAGGUAGACACAGACAGAAUCAUCCCACCACCCAGUAGGUAGACACAGACAGAAUCAUCCCACCACCCAGUAGGUAGACACAGACAGAAUCAUCCCACCACCCAGUAGGUAGACACAGACAGAAUCAUCCCACCACCCAGUAGGUAGACACAGACAGAAUCAUCCCACCACCCAGUAGGUAGACACAGACAGAAUCAUCCCACCACCCAGUAGGUAGACACAGACAGAAUCAUCCCACCACCCAGUAGGUAGACACAGACAGAAUCAUCCCACCACCCAGUAGGUAGACACAGACAGAAUCAUCCCACCACCCAGUAGGUAGACACAGACAGAAUCAUCCCACCACCCAGUAGGUAGACACAGACAGAAUCAUCCCACCACCCAGUAGGUAGACACAGACAGAAUCAUCCCACCACCCAGUAGGUAGACACAGACAGAAUCAUCCCACCACCCAGUAGGUAGACACAGACAGAAUCAUCCCACCACCCAGUAGGUAGACACAGACAGAAUCAUCCCACCACCCAGUAGGUAGACACAGACAGAAUCAUCCCACCACCCAGUAGGUAGACACAGACAGAAUCAUCCCACCACUCAGUAGGUAGACACAGACAGAAUCAUCCCACCACCCAGUAGGUAGACACAGACAGAAUCAUCCCACCACCCAGUAGGCAAUGUUUAUCAUAGAAUAAUGUAGCCAGAUACAUUUCCACCUUUUUUCUUGAAAUUGAGCUUUGCAUUUGAACUUUAUACCGGAGAAAAACUACACUGGAGGAAAUGACCUGCUGGUGAUCCAAUGAUGAGCAAAUACACUCCAUCUGAAUGGAGAAGUGCAACGGAAGCACCAAAUGACUCCUUUUACAUUCAUGAUUUGGAGCGAAUCCUGACUGAAGCUGAGCAGAAUUUACAGUAAGAAGCCUUUUAGAUUUGCGUUUACAUAACGCAGCAAGAUGUUUUAUCUGCGUCUCAUCUUUCCCUUUCUGUGUGAAACGCAGAAUCCUGAGUCAACACGACCCCAUGCAGGCAGCGGCAUACAGUCAUACUCCCUCUCUCCAGCUCGGACCCUGAUCACGGACACACCCACAUGUAACUGGUGUGAAAUGGCUCCCUAGUUAGCGGGGUGCGCGCUAGUAGCGUUUCAAUCAGUGACGUAACUCUCUCUGAGACCUUCAAGUAGUUGUUUCCCUUGCUCUAAGGAUUUUGGGGAGCGAUAGGUAAUGAUGCUUUGAGGGUGACUUGUCGAUGAGGGUCCCUGGUUCGAGCCCAGGUAGGGGUGAGGAGAGGGACAGAAACUACACUGUUAGGCACACACAUGUCAAUCAUUCCCAGGGCCCUACCCUGCACACUUCACUCAUUCCCAGGGCCCUACCCUGCACACUUCACUCAUUCCCAGGGCCCUACCCUGCACACUUCACUCAUUCCCAGGGCCCUACCCCGCACACGUCACUCAUUCCCAGGGCCCUACCCCGCGCAAGUCACUCAUUCCCAGGGCCCUACCCCGCGCAAGUCACUCGU